UGCCCGCUGAGGCGUUUUCCUUCUUUUAUGGCAACAAGAAUGAAAUCUCUGUGGCUUUUCCUCUCCCUGUUAUCCGCCCCUACCUGUGUCCUCUCCCAGGUGCAGCUGGUCGAGUCCGGCCCGGGCGUGGUGAAGCCCGGACAGACCCUCGCACUGACCUGCGCUGUCUCCGGGGUCUCUAUCACGAGCAGCAGCUACGCCUGGAACUGGGUCCGGCAGCCCCCCGGGAAAGGGCUGGAGUGGGUAGCACGUAUAUACCCACACGACGGGAGAAAGUGGUUCGCCGCGUCUCUCCAAAGCCGGACCAGCAUCUCUUCGGAUACCUCCAAGAACCAGUUCUCCCUGCAGCUGGCCUCCCUCGCGGCUGCGGACACCGCCAUGUAUUACUGCGCCGGAGACACACAGCGACACGGAGCAAAGAGGGGCUGGCACAAAAAGGGGAAGCGGAUUGUCUAGAGUCACUCGGGGCCCUGUCACACUCAGUCUCCACUGGAAGC
Non-coding RNA from Mauremys reevesii (Reeves's turtle), 497 nucleotides. The record is from the annotation of a RefSeq genome assembly. Lineage: Eukaryota; Metazoa; Chordata; Testudines; Geoemydidae.